This 458-nucleotide ribosomal RNA is filed under the name uncultured bacterium. RNAcentral's name for it is "partial 16S ribosomal RNA". It matches the Rfam family "Bacterial small subunit ribosomal RNA", at positions 338 to 795 of the family's 1533-position model. The record is from RNAcentral.
CCUACGGGUGGCAGCAGUGGGGAAUAUUGCGCAAUGGGCGAAAGCCUGACGCAGCGACGCCGCGUGAGGGAUGAAGGUCUUCGGAUCGUACACCUCUUUUGUCAGGGCGCAAGGUGCAGGUCGGGACCUGCUGUGAGAGUACCUGAAGAAAAAGCAUCGGCUAACUCCGGGCCAGCAGCCGCGGUAAUACGGAGGAUGCGAGCGUUAGCCGGAUUUAGUGGGUUUAAAGGGUGCGCAGGCGGAGGCACAAGUCAGCGGUAAAAUCGCGGGGCUCAACCCCGCUCCGCCGUUGAAACUGUGUCCCUUGAGUGCGCGAAGGGUAGGCGGAAUGCGUGUUGUAGCGGUGAAAUGCAUAGAUAUCACGCAGAACUCCGAUCGCGAAGGCAGCCUACCGGCGCGCAACUGACGCUCAUGCACGAAAGCGUGGGUAUCGAACAGGAUUAGAUACCCGAGUAGUC